Molecule: non-coding RNA, 121 nt
Organism: Caenorhabditis elegans
Lineage: Eukaryota; Metazoa; Nematoda; Chromadorea; Rhabditida; Rhabditidae
Source: Ensembl
CUUCUUCUUUCGUGUCGUCGUUGUCGCGCAACUCUCUAUUCUGUCAUGCUUAUGUAGAAGCGCCCCAAGGCAGGAGGCAGUUGCAAGCAGUAGGCCAAUAUCCACUAGUGUUGCUCGUCCC